GAGAAGUUGAGAUGCAUCAGAAUGUCCUUCCUAGUAAUUCUGCUCUUGAUCUGUUUGCAGUAUCUUCUGAAUAGCCUCUGUGACAGUUCUAGGAUAAAUCCUGCGCAAAUUGGUUAGAAUAUAUCUAAUGAGAAUGAUGCAUUAAUAAAGUCCUUUGUCUUUUUGGUUUGUAGGAGCUAUGAGGAUCACUUUCAUUCAAGACAGAUUCUUUAGAGAACUCAGCUAGUAAGAUCUUUGAAAAUCUCUGCAGGACAUGUUUGAGAUUGAUUGCAAUGAUGAACACCUUAGGUUGGCCUGGAGACAGAAGGAUGGAAGCUGGAGAAAAGCUACGUCUGUGGAGUUUCUGAAGAGCUUGGGGAAAGGUCAGGAAAUAAACUCCAGGGAAAGGAAAGAGCAGAUGGUGCAUAAGAGCACAGAAGGAACAGAUCCUAGCUAUUUCCAGCACAGAGCAUCUUGGAGUCAACAGUUGAAGAAAUGAAUUAGUACACCUCUUCCCUGUGCCUGAAAUUCAUUACUUUUCCUUAAUAAGGAAACUCAUAUUCCAGAGAAAAUUGGCCACUGAAAGCAGAAGACUGCCUAGAACCAAAGGCUAUUCAGCCGGGGAAAGCUAAUCAUUCAAGGUACUCUCCAUUUUGUACCAAUUACAGAGAGGACAACCUAUGGCUGGGCUCUUAAGCAGCUCAAAAUCUCUGUCUUGUGACUAUGAGGGAGAGAGGAAGACUAGG
This 725-nucleotide long non-coding RNA is filed under the name Anas platyrhynchos platyrhynchos (common mallard). RNAcentral's name for it is "lncRNA (ENSAPLG00000029614.1)". The record is from RNAcentral. Lineage: Eukaryota; Metazoa; Chordata; Aves; Anseriformes; Anatidae.